AACAGCUAGCUUAUCACUAAAAUAACUAAACAAUAUAAAUAAAUAAAACAAACCUAACACCAUAAACUAAAACAUUCUUUUACCUGAGUAUGGGAGACAGAAAAGGUUCAACCAAAGCAAUAGAAAUAGUACCGCAAGGGAAAGCUGAAAGAGAAAUGAAAUAACCCAUAUAAGCACCAAAAAGCAAAGAUUAAACCCUGUACCUUUUGCAUCAUGAUUUAGCCAGUCCACCCAAGCAAAGAGACCUUUAGUUUGAAACCCCGAAACCAGGUGAGCUACCCCGAGACAGCCUAUUAAGGGCUAACCCGUCUCUGUGGCAAAAGAGUGGGAAGAGCUCCGGGUAGAAGUGACAGACCUACCGAACCUGGUGAUAGCUGGUUGCCUAAGAAAUGAAUAGAAGUUCAGCCUCAUAUGCCUCAAAUCAGACAAACCAAGAUAUUAGGAGAAACACAUGAGAGUUAGUUAAAAGGGGUACAGCCCCUUUAACAAAGGACACAACCUUACCAGGAGGAUAAAGAUCAUAAUACAUAAAACAUUCCGUUCUAGUGGGCCUAAAAGCAGCCACCUACACAGAAAGCGUUAAAGCUCAGACAGACAAAAGUUUAUUAUUCCGAUAAAAAAUCUUACUCCCCUAAAUAUUAUUAGGCCAAUCCAUGCCCCCAUGGAAAAAAUUAUGCUAAAAUGAGUAACAAGAAGACCCGCCCUUCUCCCAGCACAAGUGUAAGCCAGACCGGACUAACCACUGGCAACUAACGAACUCAACCCAAGAGAGCAUUGCGAAUCACAAAAACUCCAAGAAGAGCCCGCAACUAAACAAUCGUUACCCCCACACUGGAGUGCUACUAUAGGAAAGACUAAAAGAAAAGGAAGGAACUCGGCAAACACAAGCCUCGCCUGUUUACCAAAAACAUCGCCUCCUGCAAUACAAUCAAGUAUAGGAGGUCCAGCCUGCCCAGUGACCACAAGUUCAACGGCCGCGGUAUUUUGACCGUGCAAAGGUAGCGCAAUCACUUGUCUUUUAAAUAGAGACCUGUAUGAAUGGCUAAACGAGGGCUUAACUGUCUCCCCUUUCAAGUCAGUGAAAUUGAUCUACCCGUGCAGAAGCAGU
Molecule: ribosomal RNA, 1108 nt
Filed under: Neolissochilus heterostomus
Lineage: Eukaryota; Metazoa; Chordata; Actinopteri; Cypriniformes; Cyprinidae
Description: partial large subunit ribosomal RNA
Rfam family: Bacterial large subunit ribosomal RNA (bases 182-1087)
Source: RNAcentral